Long non-coding RNA from Manis pentadactyla (Chinese pangolin), 1171 nucleotides. RefSeq lists it as uncharacterized. The transcript has 3 exons. The record is from RefSeq and is a predicted model, not a curated record. Lineage: Eukaryota; Metazoa; Chordata; Mammalia; Pholidota; Manidae.
CACGGAGCUCUGGGGCUUCUCCCCAGGUGCAGGUGCAGCCUGGGGCCAGGCUAAGGACACUGGUGCCAAGGGGACAGAGGGCUGCCCAGCCCACCCCCAGCCCCUGACCGGAGCACAACAGGGCCACAGAGCCUGAUCCUAUUCCUGAGACCACCAGGGACAAGGUUCAGCACCCUCUCUCUGUCCAAAAGUUGAGCCAGCCCGUCAGCCACAGCCCAGUCCUCCAGGAGUCAGUCCCUGGGAGGAGAGACAGGUGACUGUCCCACGGCACGAGUGGUGCUCUGGGCCGGCAUAGAGGUGCACUGUCACUGCGGCAGCGUCUCCCCCUCUGCCAGGCUCUCCAAAGGCGCCCUCAGCACCACUGAGCUCUGCGGAGAGAACAGCUGACCUGCCUGGCAGCUCGCCUUUGGACUGAUUCAGAAGCCAUGAUCUGACUGAGAAGUCAGGCUUCCAUCGAACAACUAACUUCACCUGGACUCUCAGGCUGAACACAUAAAAUCUCUGAGCUCACAGGCUGCUUCCUCUAAUCUGCUCACAGCAAGGACCAAGGGAAAGAAAUAAAGAGACUUUGGGUGAAAAAUGGAGGUGGAGAAGUAGGGCCCCUAGCCCCUGGAAAGCAGCCGGAAGCCCUCCUGGGUCACACUGCUGGCCCAGGUGACAUUCCCUGCCCAUCUGCAGUUGGCUCUGAGGCGGGGCUGCACCAGGACCUGCAGCCACUCCUGGCCCUGCUCUGGGGACAGCCUUUCUCUUCCCUGCCUGUGCUCAUCCCUCUGAGCCAUGGCCUUUCUGGAUGGAGGUCCAGAUGGCUGCAAGUCCCUGGGAGGCCUCCUGGGUGGGUGUGCCCCUACUUGGGAGGGUCUUGGGACAGCCUAGCCUAUCCCGGGAGAAGUCUGCCCUCCUCUCCUGGGCCAUCAGUGCGUUUCUAAUGGCUGGUGAUGCCCCCGAUGCCAGAAUGGUCUUCCCCCUGAAAGCCACACAGUGUCACUUUUCAGGUCAGGUAGGUGCCCUGGAAGAUACCUGUAGUCAAGAAGGCGCUCCAUGAGGCGGGUGACUGAGGCCACGAAGGAUACACCGGUCUCACGCCAUGUCUCCUGCUCCACCUUCUCCAGCAGGCUAUUGGCAGAGGCGGGGGAAGCAGACACAGCGCACAAUUCAUGAGCCUCCCCUGGGC